RNAcentral lists this ribosomal RNA (1472 nucleotides) under metagenome. RNAcentral describes it as "bacterial SSU rRNA". It matches the Rfam family "Bacterial small subunit ribosomal RNA". The record is from RNAcentral.
AGAGUUUGAUCCUGGCUCAGGAUGAACGCUAGCGGCAGGCUUAACACAUGCAAGUCGAGGGGUAUAGGUUUUCGGAUCUAGAGACCGGCGCACGGGUGCGUAACGCGUAUGCAAUCUACCUUUUACAGAGGGAUAGCCCAGAGAAAUUUGGAUUAAUACCUCAUAGUAUAGCUGAACCGCAUGGUUCUACUAUUAAAGUCACAACGGUAAAAGAUGAGCAUGCGUCCCAUUAGCUUGUUGGUAAGGUAACGGCUUACCAAGGCUACGAUGGGUAGGGGUCCUGAGAGGGAGAUCCCCCACACUGGUACUGAGACACGGACCAGACUCCUACGGGAGGCAGCAGUGAGGAAUAUUGGUCAAUGGACGCAAGUCUGAACCAGCCAUGCCGCGUGCAGGAUGACGGUCCUAUGGAUUGUAAACUGCUUUUGCACAGGAAGAAACAACUCUACGUGUAGAGUCUUGACGGUACUGUGAGAAUAAGGAUCGGCUAACUCCGUGCCAGCAGCCGCGGUAAUACGGAGGAUCCAAGCGUUAUCCGGAAUCAUUGGGUUUAAAGGGUCCGUAGGCGGUUUAGUAAGUCAGUGGUGAAAGCCCAUCGCUCAACGGUGGAACGGCCAUUGAUACUGCUAGACUUGAAUUAUUAGGAAGUAACUAGAAUAUGUAGUGUAGCGGUGAAAUGCUUAGAGAUUACAUGGAAUACCAAUUGCGAAGGCAGGUUACUACUAAUGGAUUGACGCUGAUGGACGAAAGCGUGGGUAGCGAACAGGAUUAGAUACCCUGGUAGUCCACGCCGUAAACGAUGGAUACUAGCUGUUGGAAGCAAUUUCAGUGGCUAAGCGAAAGUGAUAAGUAUCCCACCUGGGGAGUACGUUCGCAAGAAUGAAACUCAAAGGAAUUGACGGGGGCCCGCACAAGCGGUGGAGCAUGUGGUUUAAUUCGAUGAUACGCGAGGAACCUUACCAAGGCUUAAAUGUAGAUUGACCGGUUUGGAAACAGACUUUUCGCAAGACAAUUUACAAGGUGCUGCAUGGUUGUCGUCAGCUCGUGCCGUGAGGUGUCAGGUUAAGUCCUAUAACGAGCGCAACCCCUGUUGUUAGUUGCCAGCGAGUCAUGUCGGGAACUCUAACAAGACUGCCAGUGUAAACUGUGAGGAAGGUGGGGAUGACGUCAAAUCAUCACGGCCCUUACGCCUUGGGCUACACACGUGCUACAAUGGCCGGUACAGAGAGCAGCCACUGGGCGACCAGGAGCGAAUCUACAAAACCGGUCACAGUUCGGAUCGGAGUCUGCAACUCGACUCCGUGAAGCUGGAAUCGCUAGUAAUCGGAUAUCAGCCAUGAUCCGGUGAAUACGUUCCCGGGCCUUGUACACACCGCCCGUCAAGCCAUGGAAGCUGGGGGUGCCUGAAGUCGGUGACCGCAAGGAGCUGCCUAGGGUAAAACUGGUAACUAGGGCUAAGUCGUAACAAGGUA